CGUGGGUAACCUGCCCAUAAGACUGGGAUAACUCCGGGAAACCGGGGCUAAUACCGGAUAACAUUUUGAACCGCAUGGUUCGAAAUUGAAAGGCGGCUUCGGCUGUCACUUAUGGAUGGACCCGCGUCGCAUUAGCUAGUUGGUGAGGUAACGGCUCACCAAGGCAACGAUGCGUAGCCGACCUGAGAGGGUGAUCGGCCACACUGGGACUGAGACACGGCCCAGACUCCUACGGGAGGCAGCAGUAGGGAAUCUUCCGCAAUGGACGAAAGUCUGACGGAGCAACGCCGCGUGAGUGAUGAAGGCUUUCGGGUCGUAAAACUCUGUUGUUAGGGAAGAACAAGUGCUAGUUGAAUAAGCUGGCACCUUGACGGUACCUAACCAGAAAGCCACGGCUAACUACGUGCCAGCAGCCGCGGUAAUACGUAGGUGGCAAGCGUUAUCCGGAAUUAUUGGGCGUAAAGCGCGCGCAGGUGGUUUCUUAAGUCUGAUGUGAAAGCCCACGGCUCAACCGUGGAGGGUCAUUGGAAACUGGGAGACUUGAGUGCAGAAGAGGAAAGUGGAAUUCCAUGUGUAGCGGUGAAAUGCGUAGAGAUAUGGAGGAACACCAGUGGCGAAGGCGACUUUCUGGUCUGUAACUGACACUGAGGCGCGAAAGCGUGGGGAGCAACAGGAUUAGAUACCCUGGUAGUCCACGCCG
RNAcentral lists this ribosomal RNA (700 nucleotides) under Bacillus mycoides. Its description in RNAcentral is "bacterial SSU rRNA". It matches the Rfam family "Bacterial small subunit ribosomal RNA", at positions 116 to 802 of the family's 1533-position model. Lineage: Bacteria; Bacillati; Bacillota; Bacilli; Caryophanales; Bacillaceae. The record is from RNAcentral.